Molecule: ribosomal RNA, 405 nt
Filed under: uncultured bacterium
Lineage: Bacteria
Description: partial 16S ribosomal RNA
Rfam family: Bacterial small subunit ribosomal RNA
Source: RNAcentral
AUUGAACGCUAGCGGGAUGCUUUACACAUGCAAGUCGAGCGAGUGGCGGACGGGUGAGUAAUAUAUCGGAACGUGCCCUGUCGCGGGGGAUAACUACUAGAAAGAGGAGCUAAUACCGCAUACUAUUGACAAGGCCGAUAUCGGAUUAGCUAGGUGGUGGGGGAAUGGCUCACCAAGGCAACGAUCCCGAGCUGGUUUGAGCGUAUGACCAGCCACCCUGGGACUGAGACACGGCCCAGACUCCUACGGGAGGCAGCAGUGGGGAAUUUUGGACAAUGGGGGAAACCCUGAUCCAGCCAUCCCGCGUGUAUGAGAAGGCCUUCGGGUUGUAAAGUACUUUUGGCAGAGAAGCGGUACCUGCAGAAUAAGCACCGGCUAACUACGUGCCAGCAGCCGCGGUAAUUC